UUUAGAAAUGAGUGAUGGACGUAACUAAAUGCACUUGCUGAAGAAGGCUCAGCCGUCAAGGGCACCUAAGUCUGUGGCAAGUUCAAGCAGUGAAAUGCUAUGGUUAUAGAGUAUUUCUCAAACUCAUCUUCUUUGUCAUCCCUGAAUCUGUAACAACCAAAGCAAUGAAAGCCAAAAGUCCUGGCACAGAAGGGCUUAUGGGACUCCCAUUUUGAAACCAACAAGAUAACCUAAUUUGUUUCUUGUCACCUCAACCCCCGAGGCUGUUAAGGACGGUGUUGAGAGAGAAGGCCUUACUCAAGACAAGAGGCCUAACUGGUGUUUGUUAAGUAAUACUAAGAGAUCGCUAUCUCUGGGAAGUUUCUAGCCAGAGAAAAUAGGUUCCAGGCUAUGAGAAAGUUCUCAGUUGAAGUCUUAUUUCCGAGAGAAAAAGAAGCAGAAAAGCUAGGGUAUAUAGUAGAUUCUGUAUCCAAUACUUAAAAAAAAAAAAAAAAAAAAAGCAACCCAUUGGUUGAAAUCAUUGCUAAAAAUUGCCAUGCCUGCCCAAAAGGCAUCUUUGGGAGUCACACAUCUUAGCUAGGGUACCAGCACAGGAUUGGUAGUGUUCAAGGGCUGUGCUGGCCCUCACUGCCUCCCAAAGCCAAAUGAAUAGCUUUAUUCUCUGUAAGGACAAGGAAGACAGAGAGAGUGCGAAUCCAUAAGACCUUGUAUGAGAAAGGAUCCUGGCAGGAAACGAGUGGCAUGCUCAACAGGUAACGGAGGAGCUUUAAGCCCCAGAGAGCUUAUCAAUAGAUCUGGCCUGAAAUAGAAAAUGAAAUUAAGUUGAAGAAAA
RNAcentral lists this long non-coding RNA (832 nucleotides) under Sus scrofa (pig). RNAcentral's name for it is "lncRNA (ENSSSCG00070000848.1)". The record is from RNAcentral. Lineage: Eukaryota; Metazoa; Chordata; Mammalia; Artiodactyla; Suidae.